GGAGCUGCCGGCUAAGGGUGAGUU
RNAcentral lists this non-coding RNA (24 nucleotides) under Arabidopsis thaliana (thale cress). The record is from RNAcentral. Lineage: Eukaryota; Viridiplantae; Streptophyta; Magnoliopsida; Brassicales; Brassicaceae.